RNAcentral lists this ribosomal RNA (253 nucleotides) under uncultured bacterium. RNAcentral describes it as "partial 16S ribosomal RNA". It matches the Rfam family "Bacterial small subunit ribosomal RNA", at positions 524 to 776 of the family's 1533-position model. The record is from RNAcentral.
UACGUAGGGUGCGAGCGUUAAUCGGAAUUACUGGGCGUAAAGGGAGCGCAGGCGGAUAUAUAAGUUAGAUGUGAAAUCCCCGGGCUUAACCUGGGAACGGCAUUUAAGACUGUGUAUCUAGAGUUUAUCAGAGGGAGGCAGAAUUCCAGGUGUAGCAGUGAAAUGCGUAGAGAUCUGGAGGAAUACCGGUGGCGAAGGCGGCCUCCUGGGAUAGAACUGACGCUCAUGCUCGAAAGCGUGGGUAGCAAACAGG